AUACGGAGGGUGCGAGCGUUAAUCGGAAUUACUGGGCGUAAAGCGUGCGUAGGCGGUUUGCUAAGUCAGAUGUGUAAGCCCCGGGCUUAACCUGGGAACUGCAUUUGAUACUGGCAGACUAGAGUAUGAUAGAGGGGGGUAGAAUUCCUGGUGUAGGGGUGAAAUGCGUAGAUAUCAGGAGGAAUACCAGUGGCGAAGGCGGCCCCCUGGAUCAAUACUGACGCUGAGGUACGAAAGCGUGGGGAGCGAACAGGAUUAGAAACCCUAGUAGUCC
Molecule: ribosomal RNA, 274 nt
Filed under: uncultured bacterium
Lineage: Bacteria
Description: partial 16S ribosomal RNA
Rfam family: Bacterial small subunit ribosomal RNA
Source: RNAcentral